RNAcentral lists this ribosomal RNA (253 nucleotides) under uncultured bacterium. RNAcentral describes it as "partial 16S ribosomal RNA". It matches the Rfam family "Bacterial small subunit ribosomal RNA", at positions 524 to 776 of the family's 1533-position model. The record is from RNAcentral.
UACGUAGGUGGCAAGCGUUGUCCGGAUUUACUGGGCGUAAAGAGCGCGCAGGCGGUCGUUCAAGUCGAGUGUGAAAGCCCCCGGCUCAACUGGGGAGGGUCACUCGAUACUGAUCGACUCGAAGGCAGAAGAGGGAAGCGGAAUUCCCGGUGUAGUGGUGAAAUGCGUAGAUAUCGGGAGGAACACCAGUGGCGAAGGCGACUUCCUGGCCUGUUCUUGACGCUGAGGCGCGAAAGCUAGGGUAGCAAACGGG